RNAcentral lists this long non-coding RNA (2535 nucleotides) under Anser brachyrhynchus (Pink-footed goose). RNAcentral describes it as "lncRNA (ENSABRG00000019694.1)". Lineage: Eukaryota; Metazoa; Chordata; Aves; Anseriformes; Anatidae. The record is from RNAcentral.
GGGCUGAGGUUGGACUAGAUGAUCUUGAGGUCUCUUCCAACCUAGACGAUUCUGUGAUUCUGUGAAAAGAAAAAAAAAAAAAAGCCAAAGGUGAACAGCUUUAGUUUGUUUGUUUAAUUGUCAUGAGAUCUCAGGCUCCAUCUAGAAAACAAGCAAGACUCAGAAAGCAAACUAAAAGCUUUACAUUUUUUGUGGUAUGUUUAAGUAGCCUGGCCCAUAUUAUACACCCUUUCAUAUCCAUAAAACCCAGUUAAAGUCAAGAAAAACCAAUUAUAAUGCUGCAUAUCUGCAUGUGACUUCAGGUACUCACUGUAAGAAGAACACAGCAACCAUUGUGGACCAGGUUAACACUUGAAAGACUGAUCAGAAGGAACACAGCCUGUGAAUAACCCGUGUCUCAAAAACAACAGGAAGUUCAGGAAGUUUUCGCCUUUACUAGGGCUGAGGAUUAUUUUUUUCUUGGCUUUUUUUCCCAACCUUCUCAUCACUAGCAGAACAAGGAGGAUAUUCAAUUCACUGGCUGAAUGCAGACUUUAAGGCUCUCCUUAUUGAAGGCUGAACAAGUCUUUCAAAUACAUCCUGGCUGGCCAAACACCGACUCGUACAUCCUAGAAUUAUCCACUAAUAAUAAGUCAUGUGGCGCAGGACGGUUUGAAGUCAAAUUGUGGACAGUACCACAGUACUGUAUAUCAUGUUAAUCUUUCUCAGCUCUUUAGGUCGAAAUUUCAAAAUACAUGUAAAAGGCAUGGUAAUAUGCAAGGCUUCAUAUUGCAUUCCUAUUUUUUCUGUUUCCUGUAUAGUCUUUCACAUAGCACUUAAUCUUGUCCUGUCUCAGUUUUCCAGUCUGAAACCAAAUACAUAAUACAAUUUCACUUCCCAGGACCAUUAUAGGAACGUACUAACUGUUGGUUAAACACGUUAAGAACUUUUUCAAAAGCAUCUAGGGGACUCAAAUAGCCAAAAUCAGCAACAGACUCACAUGUAAGUACAACAUAUCAUUUUUAACCACUUUUUUUUUCCUAUGUGGAGAUGCUGGAGACCAAGUUGUAUCACUACAACUUGCUGCUGAUUUUCAAGUAUGUGUCAGGAACUAAGACCUGCAAAAUCCAUUAAAAUUCAGAACGCCUGUGCUCCUUGACCCCAUUUAUGCCAUUUAAAAGGUUUCUGCUUGUGACUAGUAGCCCUUGCUCCUGACACCUGGUGAUACGGUUAGCAUAACUAAUGCCACUUUGUGAAGUAAGAAGACAUUACCCCUAAGCAAACUCAUAGGUUACCAGCCCACUUUUCCCCCUCCCCACCAGCCCUGAAGGUCCCAGGCAACAGGCCAACUCUUCCCCUCCCUACCAGUGGUGUGAAAAUCCCAAACUCACAUCCAACCACGCUGUGGUGACCUCCUCAAAGAACAGGGAAGUGUAACAGCCCACGGAGUGUGCCUAUAAAACCAAGCAGCAGCAAGCCCUAGGUGAGACAUGGAUGGGACCCGCUGCUGGACGGCAGGCCUGCGAUCCCCUGGUGCUCAGGGACACCUCCACUGUCAGCUGCAUCCUCCACAGACCAAGCGACUCACGUUCCUUCACAUCGAUUCUGAGUCUAGAUUAUGAUUAUUAGAUUGCACGUUAAGUGUUGAAAUCUGACCCAAUCUGCAGAGGGUACAGAUGAUUCAAACAAAUGCUAAAUAACCAUAAGCUGUGCUAAUUAUAAAUUUCCAUGUAAUAACAAAGGUCUAAAUAUAAACACAACCUUGUGGCAUCCUCAUUCUACCAAGGAUCACUAGUGAACCUGUCUGUCCCCAUAACGUUGGGUAACAUUCCUAUUCCACGUAUUAGCCACAAGCUUUGAUGACAAUCAUAACAUGUAAGUUAGAAGUACACACUUCUAAAGCUAGGUUAACAGUAGGACAGAAAACUCUGACAAAAUUACACACAGAAGCAUCAUUUAAUUGAAACACUGAGUUUUGUAGUUAUUAGUCAAUCACUUGCAGUGUGCACUCUGGCAAGCAAUGGGUGGUAGCCAAUUUUCCCUUAUGAAUCCAUGUAUCUACUUCUGUUCCAUACAAGUUUUCACCCUUUUCUAUACGUAACUCCUAUUGACAAAGUCAAACUAUCUGACUUCUCCAAAUCUCCACUUUACAGAUAGGAACUUGUAAAACAGAGACAAAGAUUUUGUACUAUAAAUGCUGGCAUUCUUCUAAUACACUCAAAACUCCCUUAAGAAAAGAGAUAAAAUGAGGCGUCAUUAGCCAUUAAUUUAUUUUCAUAUGCCUACUCAAAAGGCAUCAAACAAUAAUGUUACUGAAAGGAUCCCCUUCGCCAUAAUGAACUCAGAUUCAUACAAUGUCACUUAACCCAUGUCUUUUUAAAAUCAGAUAUGGUACUAAUAUGCAAUAUAAUAACAUGCCUGACUACUUAUAAUGCCCGCAAAUCCUAUUCUCAUGUGUGUUUUCUACUGACACCAUGCAAUCAAUUAUAUAAUUUAUAUAUACAUAUGUAUCUUUUUCUGCUUUUUAAUAAAAUUGAUAUAUCAGAGAAUAUUUCA